This 1758-nucleotide long non-coding RNA is filed under the name Cricetulus griseus (Chinese hamster). RNAcentral describes it as "lncRNA (ENSCGRG00015036041.1)". The record is from RNAcentral. Lineage: Eukaryota; Metazoa; Chordata; Mammalia; Rodentia; Cricetidae.
GAUAGUUUCAGUUUCUCAGUACUUCACCCUCAUCAAAGGUUACAGGAAUUUUCAACAUUUGCUCACUUGGGGAAAUCCAGAAAGCCUCACAGGAUUGCAGGAGGAAAUGAAAAUUAAAAAAUAAACGCAAAGCCCAUCCACCUGUGCUGAAGAGCAAGAGCAGUAAGAAGAGGCACUUGAUCUUGCUAGGGACACAGUUAAAUGACUAUGGUCAGGAUGGAGCAGAGCUACUACUGAAAGGGCUGACUGUGGCUGAUUUUCGAGAGGGGACACAGAAAGUGAUGCAUGGUGAAGAGCCACCACCUUGGUGAAGGACAAAGAGAGAAAAUGCUGUGUUGAGGUUCAGUGAUAAAGUAUGUCUAACAUCACCUUAUCCACUCACCUGUAGACAAGACAGGUGAGGACUCUGAAUGAUGCUGACAUGAAGAUAAUUACAGAGACUCCCAUCUGAAUCCAAGCUUUCAGUUUUCUAGGUUGUAUUCAUUUCAUCACUGAUCGAAUGAUUGACAGCAACAAUAAGAGGAAGGAUUUAAUUGGCUCAAAGUUCAAGGGAUAUCAGUCCAUUAUGAAGGUGAAACAGGAAUCUAUGGCUAUGUGUGUAGUGGAAGGAACUUUGGCCUGUUCAUGACAACCCAGAAGCAAAGAGCAGAGGGCCAAGAGCAAGGAACAAGCUGGACUACUAGAGGAGGGAUUCCAGCAGGAAAUAAAAAAAAACUUGAGGAUGAAAAGAAGUAUCUCCGGAAAGGAAACUGAACCACAGAUGGCAUUGUAAGCUAAGGGUCUAAGAAUAACGCCAUUCUGCCACUCAAACAGAGCUGAACAGGGUCACAUCAAUUGAUAAUGAUUGGGUCCUCCAUCAGAAAACUAAAAAUCUGGAAAGAUGUGCAGUGUGAUCAUUGAAAUCCUGUUUAUCUUCUUAUAAGAUUGUGCUCCAAGAAUAUCAUUGACAUCUCUACCACAAGAGAGGCGUCAACAGGGCUACUCAGAAGAAAGUCCCUUUUCCAGAUAAUCACCAGGAGACAAAUAGACACUGAUCACAGUCUGUUUUAAAAAAUAAUUUAUUUAUUUUUAUUGUUUUAUGUGUGUCAGUGUUUUGCCUGCAUGUAUGUCCAUGUGGGGGUGACAGACCUUGGAGUUAUAGACAGUCAUGAGCUGCCAUAUGGGUGCUGGGAUUUGAACCCAGGUUCUCUGGAAGAGCAGUGCUCUUUAACCUCUGAGAUAUUUCUUCAGCCCCAUACUGAGCACAUUCUUAAAUGGUGGCACACAAUUAGGAACCAAGUUGUCCAGGGAUGUGAUGGCUCUGAAAGACAGGGAAAGCCAGCCUCAUUUGUUUUGGAGACAAUAUAAAGUUCUGGAUUAUAUCAAAAGUGCUCAACCUUUCAGCAAUGGCAUGAUUUGUGGACACUGGCAAUGAGCAACCCUAUCAAUACACUCCAUCAUAAAUCAAGACAGCUGCAUGGAGAUCUAGAGUACCCAUAUACAAUAUCCACAGGAAGAUGGAAGAAGCCAUUAGCAUGGCAAGGAACUGCUCCACUGUUGAAGAAGGAAAUAUUCCAGUUCAUAUGGAUGGAAACUGUAACAGGACAUUUCCAAACUCUAAGGGUUGACACGGACUACAUAGUAAUACGAUGACAACUAAGCACAAUGUAUAGCUUAUGUACUUAUGUAUAAACUAUACAUAAGUAUGUGUUAUGUAUACUUCAUAUAUAAAAAUACAUAACUUUAAAAGGGCUUUAAAUGGUGCUGGGUAACCUAUAG